GCGAGAACAGAGGAAGCCAGCGGCCAAUGGGCGGCGCCGCUGGAGGCGGGAGCAGGGAGACAAGGAAAUUCUGUCACCGCGGUUAACACGCACGUGGAGGUUUGUUAAAGCAGGCGCCCUUCUCCUCUCCUCAGACUCAGCCAUCCACGGCUGUGAGGACAGCUGGUCCUGCCUUCCCUGGACUGUCCGCUCCAGCCAACAUAAAGCCUGAGGUAACACGAAGAUGCUGAGAUUAUACCAAGAGCAGCUUCCGAAACUGCACCGUGAGCCUAGGGAGCCCUCUCUGUGGGGCACUGCUGACGCUCCCUAGGUCAGGACCCCUGCAUGGUGGGUGGGGAAGCCCCCUCCCCAGCUACUCCUCCAGCCCUGAGCCAGGCUUCCUGCUCACUGCUAUGGCCAGACGCCAGGCCAGCCUGGAGAGAAGCUUGGCUCAGUCAGGAUCCCUGACUAGGAGGACACAUCUACUCCAUGCCCAAGUCCUGGGUGCUUUAUGCUCAGCCUUCACCACAAAGGCCCAGUGGCCCAGGUAUUGAUCUAUAGCAUAUGGAGAAGUGCUUUAUGUGAAUUUACACUUCAAUGCAGACAAUAGGGAUGGCCCCAUACUAGGUAUCACCUGGUUGGCCCAAUAGGUAGCACUAAGACUAGGUAGCUAAUCACUGAAUAUAAUGAGAAUAAAGAUAGAGUAAAUUCUAUUUUUGUUUAAAUGUAUAUGUAUUUCAAUAUAUGAAUAUAGCAGGAAAAAGUCUUAAAUUGCUAAAAUGUUAAAAACCAUUAUCUCCCGGUAGUUGGAUUUUGCUUGACUAAGAGAAUUUUUCUCCUUGUUUUUCUCCGUAUUUUGUCAUUUUCUCACAAUAAGUGUAUUCUGUUGUACUCUUUUUAAAAUAAAGGAAGAUAAAGAACAUUGAGGAAGUAAUUAAA
Long non-coding RNA from Myotis davidii, 918 nucleotides. RefSeq lists it as uncharacterized. The transcript is spliced from 2 exons. Lineage: Eukaryota; Metazoa; Chordata; Mammalia; Chiroptera; Vespertilionidae. The record is from RefSeq and is a predicted model, not a curated record.